Podarcis lilfordi (Lilford's wall lizard) is the source of this 1805-nucleotide non-coding RNA. The record is from the annotation of a GenBank genome assembly. NCBI's taxonomy places the organism in Eukaryota, Metazoa, Chordata, Lepidosauria, Squamata, Lacertidae.
GGGGUAGACAGGGGUAACACUAGUUCAACCUUGGGAAACAGGUCCAGACAAGUCCUUGGUAUAAGAUUAGCAUAAGCAGACAUGGCGGGGCAAGACUCAGGUAUAAGAUGAGCAUAGACAAAUAUGUCUUAAGUACCCACCACCCAAAAGUACAAUAGAAGUUCCUUUGCAUGUCUGGACCCCUUGGCAAGUCUGGUGAUGGGAUUAGGCUUCCCUUGGAGAACAAUGAGCUCAGCAAUCGUCAGCUCUGGGCAUUUCCUGGGGUAGGAGGUGUGUACACAUGUCUUCGAGCUUGGGGAGGUGGCAGGGGAAAGAGUCCUUUUUCCAAGGGCAAAAUGGUGUUGGAAUGGAGGAACUUGGCAAAAGUGUUGAUUUCAUAUGAUUCAUAAAGCUAGGUAUAUUCCCUGAGCUGUCAAGCCAAAAGGAUACAUUCAGGCACAAUAUUUGUAACUGUUAACAACCUUAAAGAUGUGCCCCACCCCCCAUAAUUUCCGUAACAGGAAUCAUUUCUACUUCUUCCAGAGCUAGCAGUCAUCGAAAGCCCUCUCCUCCUCCGUGAAUUUGUCCAAACCUCUUUUCAAGCCACCCAAGCUGAUGGCCAUCCCUGGCUCCUGUGGCAGGGAGUUCCAUAGGUUAACUAUGCGCCGCGUGGAGACAGACUUCCUUUUCUGUGUCCAGAAUCUGCAUAACAAUUUAGGGGCUUCUUUUGGAAACUUUGGCCAGCUGAAGCCGUUGUUUGUUUUCUCAUCAAGUCUUGCGUGGGGAUGUCAUGGGAUUGGAAAGAAGAUAUUCCUUUAUUUCCCAAUGUUAAGGCAGGGUCCUCUUUAGCUGGAGUGUUAGUCUCCUGUUUUGCUCUGCCCCAUCCAAUUCCAUCCCUCCAUCCCCACCCCCCGGUCAGCCCUGAUGCUUCCAGGUGCCAUAAGAAAGCUGCAGAAAUGAUCUCUUUCAGCUUCUGCCUUCUGGAAGAAGGUCCAGGGUUAUAAAGACUAGGACUAGCCGCCUGAGAAACAGUUUCUAUCCAAAUGCAAUUUUGGUUUUAAAUGCAGUGUAAGGUAGUCUCUCCUGCCAACCUAGCAGUUCGAAAGCAUGUCAAAGUGCAAGUAGAUAAAUAGGUACCGCUCUGGCGGGAAAUAACGGCAUUUCUGUGCACUGCUCUGGUUCACCAGAAGCGGCUUAGUCAUGCUGGCCACAUGACCCGAAAGCUGUACAUCGGCUCCCUCAGCCAACGAAGCAAGAUGAGUGCCACAACCCCAGAGUCAGCCAUGACUGGACCUAAUGGUCAGGGGUCCCUUUACCUUUUAAGGUAGUCUCUGUGGGAGUAUAUUGUAUUUAAUUAUGGGGUAUCAGAGUUUUUAGGGGACUAACCAGGCUGGGAUAGCAGGCAUGCUGGUUUUUUGAAUGUCUGAUGUAGAUUUUUUCAAUUUCAUUGUUCUGUAUGGGACAAUGACAAUAAAGAUUAUUGUAUCGUAUAAGCAACCUCUUCUCUGGUUCCCCAGGAAAACUGCAUGCUCUGAGAAGUACAAGCGGCUGGCACCAUUCUUCUCCUUAUGGAGACACUUGUGAACUCUGGGAAGAAGACUCACUCUUCCAUUCUUUGCAGAGCAAGAACGGGAAAGCUGCAACUCUCUGGAAAGCUACAAUAGUGGUGAUGGGAGAAGCGGUUCCCAAACUUUUUCAGGCCCCUCCUUGGUUCCAUAAACGCACCCCCAGGGCCACCUGCCCCAUAAAAAAGCAUUACUCAGAAUAGAGGUUUGUACGACCCACCAAGGAAGACAGUAACAUGAUAAAGCUCAAAACAGUAACAA